RNAcentral lists this ribosomal RNA (460 nucleotides) under uncultured bacterium. Its description in RNAcentral is "partial 16S ribosomal RNA". It matches the Rfam family "Bacterial small subunit ribosomal RNA", at positions 338 to 795 of the family's 1533-position model. The record is from RNAcentral.
CCUACGGGAGGCAGCAGUGAGGAAUAUUGGUCAAUGGGCUUACGCCUGAACCAGCCAAGUCGCGUGAGGGAAGACUGCCCUAUGGGUUGUAAACCUCUUUUGUCAGGGAGCAACGCCGGCUACGUGUAGCCGGACUGAGAGUACCUGAAGAAAAAGCAUCGGCUAACUCCGUGCCAGCAGCCGCGGUAAUACGGAGGAUGCGAGCGUUAUCCGGAUUGAUUGGGUUUAAAGGGUGCGUAGGCGGAAUGCCAAGUCAGCGGUAAAAUCGCGGGGCUCAACCUCGCUCCGCCGUUGAAACUGGCGUUCUUGAGUGGGCGAGAGGUAUGCGGAAUGCGUGGUGUAGCGGUGAAAUGCAUAGAUAUCACGCAGAACUCCGAUUGCGAAGGCAGCAUACCGGCGCCCAACUGACGCUGAAGCACGAAAGCGUGGGUAUCGAACAGGAUUAGAUACCCUUGUAGUC